RNAcentral lists this ribosomal RNA (377 nucleotides) under uncultured bacterium. RNAcentral describes it as "bacterial SSU rRNA". It matches the Rfam family "Bacterial small subunit ribosomal RNA", at positions 521 to 896 of the family's 1533-position model. The record is from RNAcentral.
UAAUACGUAGGGGGCGAGCGUUGUCCGGAAUUAUUGGGCGUAAAGAGCGUGUAGGCGGUUCGGUAAGUCUGCCGUGAAAACCCAGGGCUCAACCCUGGGCGUGCGGUGGAUACUGCCGGGCUAGAGGGUGGUAGAGGCGAGUGGAAUUCCCGGUGUAGCGGUGAAAUGCGCAGAUAUCGGGAGGAACACCAGUAGCGAAGGCGGCUCGCUGGGCCAUACCUGACGCUGAGACGCGAAAGCGUGGGGAGCAAACAGGAUUAGAUACCCUGGUAGUCCACGCCGUAAACGAUGAACACUAGGUGUGGGCGGAGUCGAAUCUGUCUGUGCCGCAGCCAACGCGAUAAGUGUUCCGCCUGGGGAGUACGGCCGCAAGGCUA